Molecule: long non-coding RNA, 428 nt
Organism: Poecilia reticulata (guppy)
Lineage: Eukaryota; Metazoa; Chordata; Actinopteri; Cyprinodontiformes; Poeciliidae
Source: RefSeq, a predicted model, not a curated record
UUUAAUUUUUCACUGCAAAAACACCAAAUAUCACCAAAUCUUAUCCUCAUAAACCCGUCUGAGUCCCAAGAUGCUGCCAUGAAGAUCCAGGAGCUGUGUGUGUUUUUCAUGCCAGUUUGCGCCAGCAGCACUGCUGUAGUUAUCACACAAAGGGUCUGGUGUUGCUGCAGCCUCUGAAGUGAAGCGAGCUGCUGAGUCACAGCCCUCUGAACUCGCAGUGAACUUCUCUCUGCUUCCUCCAUUCUUCUGGACUGGCGCAAACUCAUUUUUUCUUCAAACAUUUCAUCUGAGCUUCGUGGUCGGGGUCACUGCUGCAGUUCGUCAUGCCGUCUUUGUGCCGAGAGUCUCCAUGAGUCCUGGAUGCUGCUCCUGAAUCCACUCCAGCACCUCUUCCACGGACCAGGACGACACCCGAUGCAGUUCGCUCA